RNAcentral lists this ribosomal RNA (253 nucleotides) under uncultured bacterium. RNAcentral's name for it is "partial 16S ribosomal RNA". It matches the Rfam family "Bacterial small subunit ribosomal RNA", at positions 524 to 776 of the family's 1533-position model. The record is from RNAcentral.
GACGAACCGUGCGAACGUUGUUCGGAAUCACUGGGCUUAAAGGGCGCGUAGGCGGGUCGGCAAGUCCGGGGUGAAAGCCCCCAGCUCAACUGGGGAAGGGCCUUGGAAACUGCCGGUCUUGAGGGAGGUAGGGGCCUGUGGAACUUCGGGUGGAGCGGUGAAAUGCGUUGAUAUCCGAAGGAACGCCGAUGGCGAAAGCGACGGGCUGGAUCUCUUCUGACGCUGAGGCGCGAAAGCUAGGGUAGCGAACGGG